Molecule: transfer RNA, 93 nt
Filed under: Sediminibacterium sp.
Lineage: Bacteria; Pseudomonadati; Bacteroidota; Chitinophagia; Chitinophagales; Chitinophagaceae
Also listed under: 1 other name
Description: tRNA-OTHER
Rfam family: tRNA
About the family: Transfer RNA (tRNA) molecules are approximately 80 nucleotides in length.
Source: RNAcentral
ACCCGGUUCGUCUAGUGGUUAGGACUUAAGACAUUUGAGUAGGGGGUAAAGAAUUUUAAUCUUAGAACACGGGUUCGAUUCCCGUACCGGGUA